AUUGAACGCUGGCGGCAUGCUUUACACAUGCAAGUCGAACGGUAACAGGCCUUCGGGUGCUGACGAGUGGCGAACGGGUGAGUAAUGCAUCGGAACGUGCCCAGAGGUGGGGGAUAACGCAGCGAAAGCUGUGCUAAUACCGCAUGUGAUCUGAGGAUGAAAGCGGGGGACCAAGCAGCAAUGUUUGGCCUCGCGCCUCUGGAGCGGCCGAUGUCAGAUUAGGUAGUUGGUGGGGUAAAGGCCUACCAAGCUGACGAUCUGUAGCUGGUCUGAGAGGACGACCAGCCACACUGGGACUGAGACACGGCCCAGACUCCUACGGGAGGCAGCAGUGGGGAAUUUUGGACAAUGGGCGCAAGCCUGAUCCAGCAAUGCCGCGUGCGGGAAGAAGGCCUUCGGGUUGUAAACCGCUUUUGUACGGAACGAAAAGGCUCUGGCUAAUACCUGGGGCUGAUGACGGUACCGUAAGAAUAAGCACCGGCUAACUACGUG
RNAcentral lists this ribosomal RNA (492 nucleotides) under uncultured bacterium. RNAcentral's name for it is "partial 16S ribosomal RNA". It matches the Rfam family "Bacterial small subunit ribosomal RNA", at positions 30 to 507 of the family's 1533-position model. The record is from RNAcentral.